Long non-coding RNA from Puntigrus tetrazona (Sumatra barb), 1392 nucleotides. RefSeq lists it as uncharacterized. The record is from RefSeq and is a predicted model, not a curated record. The transcript is spliced from 3 exons. Lineage: Eukaryota; Metazoa; Chordata; Actinopteri; Cypriniformes; Cyprinidae.
UGGAAAGACCUCUUGUCAUGUCGAUGCGUCAAAUUCGGUGUUCUCUGACCCAUGUCACCAUGUCUAUAAGUACCUGGAAGUGACAUACUCCUGCAUAUGAGUUUAUGAAGCACGAUCUGCAUCGGUCCUUGAGGAAACAGCCUGGAGGAGCAGAAGCACAUCUUUUUCUUAGCAAAUUUCUUAGCUAAUUGUGUUCUCUUUUCUUUAAAUCUGCUUUGAAACUUUUUUUUUCAUACAAAUAAAUUGCAUUUGAAAUUACAUCUGCCUUUCCUCCUUCUGACACACUGGUGUCCUUUGAACAACCAUACGACAUUGCACAAAUUAUUACAGUAGCAUUUAUUUGAACAAAUAUUUAACUGUAUAUAAUACAGCAUAUUGUUUAAAGCAAUAUGAAAUAAGUGUUUUUAAGGAAAAUAAGUAUAAUAUGCAGAGAAUGUGAAACACUGAUACACUAUUAUACUUUCUUCUCAGUGGUAAUUUGGGAUUGAGCUUAUCAGAUGCAGCAAGCAUUUUUGUUAUUGCAUUUGUAAUCAUGCCAAAACAGUUAAUGUCCAUUGUAUCAUUAAAACAUGCAGAUAAGUAAUGAGGAAUGCUCAACACUCAAUAUAAAAGACAUCUUUUUUUUCAUUUCCCUGUUCGGAAAAUACUUUAUGACCAGUCAAAGAUAACAAAAUGACAUCUACAGAUCAAAAGGCCAAGGAUAUGGAAAUAAUUCCUACGUUUAGUAUAACAAGAGCCGAAGAUGAAGCUGAAAAAUGACUGCCUGCCGCAUUGAGACUCCCUUUAUUCCUCACUGCCAUUACCCACACACAUUUAGAUGGUCUUUUUUUUUUGAGCAGCAGCAAUACAAAAGUCUUGCUGUAGAUUUGCUUGUUCUGGUGAGCAUUUUCUCAAUCUCUUUACUUGCUUCAAAGCAGCAGCAACAUGCAGAUCGAUUCAGCUGAGACCACAAAUAUUACCCCCGCCUUGUCAUAUUACCCCAUACCACGCCAAUAUCCUAGAGUUGUCAUGAUAGAACUGUGUUGAUAUAACGCCAUAUUUUGGAAAACUCUUUGCCCAGGGAUGACCAGAGAACGUGGUCUUGAGAAGUUCUGGAAAUGUGAACGCACAAAAUCAUACUUUACCUCAACAGGAACAUGUGUCUUCGUCAGACAUCUGUUGUUCUUCUGUUCACGCAUUCAACGUGCUGGUGCUAAAGCUAAGUUGUAUCAUUUUGCUGGUCUUCCUGUGUCAGUAUGGUGAGAAUGGCAGUUUACUAAUGUGUAAUUAAAUAAAAAAAGAUCUGAAGAAAGAUCUGUGCGCCUCAGCUGUAGUGAGUAACAGUCAUUUCUAGAUUUUUGGUGUUUUGUGCCCAAAUUGCACAGUAUACAGUUCCUGUGUCUUGAAAUUUGU